GAGUUUGAUCCUGGCUCAGAAUCAACGCUGGCGGCGUGCCUAACAUAUGCAAGUCGAACGAGAAAGUGGAGCAAUCCAUGAGUAAAGUGGCGCACGGGUGAGUAACACGUGACUAACCUACCCUGGAGUGGGGGAUAAGUGGGAGAAAUCCUAGCUAAUACCGCAUAAUACCUACGGGUCAAAGGAGCAAUUCGUUUCAGGAGGGGGUCGCGGCCGAUUAGUUAGUUGGCGGGGUAAUGGCCCACCAAGACGAUGAUCGGUAUCCGGCCUGAGAGGGCGCACGGACACACUGGAACUGAAACACGGUCCAGACUCCUACGGGAGGCAGCAGUGGGGAAUUUUGCGCAAUGGGGGAAACCCUGACGCAGCAACGCCGCGUGGAGGAUGAAGUCCUUCGGGACGUAAACUCCUUUCGAUCGGGACGAUUAUGACGGUACCGGAAGAAGAAGCCCCGGCUAACUUCGUGCCAGCAGCCGCGGUAAUACGAGGGGGGCGAGCGUUGUUCGGAAUUAUUGGGCGUAAAGGGUGCGUAGGCGGUUUGGUAAGUCUGAUGUGAAAUCUAUGGGCUCAACUCAUAGUCUGCAUCGGAAACUGCCGGGCUUGAGUAUGGGAGAGGUGAGUGGAAUUCCUGGUGUAGCGGUGAAAUGCGUAGAUAUCAGGAGGAACACCUGUGGCGAAAGCGGCUCACUGGACCAUAACCGACGCUGAUGCACGAAAGCUAGGGGAGCAAACAGGAUUAGAUACCCUGGUAGUCCUAGCCCUAAACGAUGACUGCUUGGUGUGACGGGUACCCCAAUCCCGCCCGUACCGUACCAAACGCGUUAAGAAUCCGCCUGGCGAGUACGGUCCGCAAGGCUGAAACUCAAAGGAUUGACCGGGGGCCCGCACAAGCGGUGGAGAUGUGGUUUAAUUCGACCAACACGAAAAG
RNAcentral lists this ribosomal RNA (928 nucleotides) under uncultured Telmatobacter sp. Its description in RNAcentral is "bacterial SSU rRNA". It matches the Rfam family "Bacterial small subunit ribosomal RNA", at positions 9 to 968 of the family's 1533-position model. The record is from RNAcentral. Lineage: Bacteria; Pseudomonadati; Acidobacteriota; Terriglobia; Terriglobales; Acidobacteriaceae.